UACGUAGGGGGCAAGCGUUAUCCGGAUUUACUGGGCGUAAAGGGCGUGUAGGCGGCUGCACAAGUCGUGCGUGAAAGCUCCCGGCUCAACUGGGAGAGGUCGUGCGAUACUGUGUGGCUUGAGCGCAGUAGGGGAAGGCGGAAUUCCCGGUGGAGCGGUGAAAUGCGUAGAGAUCGGGAGGAACACCAGUGGCGAAGGCGGCCUUCUGGACUGUUGCUGACGCUGAGGCGCGAAAGCGUGGGGAGCGAACAGG
This 253-nucleotide ribosomal RNA is filed under the name uncultured organism. RNAcentral describes it as "partial 16S ribosomal RNA". It matches the Rfam family "Bacterial small subunit ribosomal RNA", at positions 524 to 776 of the family's 1533-position model. The record is from RNAcentral.